RNAcentral lists this ribosomal RNA (430 nucleotides) under uncultured bacterium. Its description in RNAcentral is "partial 16S ribosomal RNA". It matches the Rfam family "Bacterial small subunit ribosomal RNA", at positions 29 to 506 of the family's 1533-position model. The record is from RNAcentral.
AACGAACGCUGGCGGCAGGCUUAACACAUGCAAGUCGAACGCCCCGCAAGGGGAGUGGCAGACUGGUGAGUAGCGCGUGGGGAGAUAACCUUGUCUACGACCUAGCCCUGGGAAACUGGUAAUAAUACCGUAUACGGCCUACGGGGGGAAGAUUUAUCGGGGGGGGUGUGGGCCGCGGUGGAUUAGCUAGUGGGUGGGGUAAAGGCCUACCAAGGCGACGAUCCAGAGCUGGUGUGAGAGGAUGAUCAGCGACAUUGGGACUGGGACACGGCCCAAACUCCUACGAGAGGUAGCAGAGGGGAAAAAUGGGCAGGGAGCGUAAGCCAGAACCGGCCAUGCCGGGUGAGUGAUGAAGGCCUUAGAGUUGUAAAGCUCUUUCACCGAUGAAGAUAAGGACGGAAGUCGGAGAAGAGGCCCCGGCAAACUUCGU